This 255-nucleotide ribosomal RNA is filed under the name uncultured bacterium. RNAcentral's name for it is "partial 16S ribosomal RNA". It matches the Rfam family "Bacterial small subunit ribosomal RNA", at positions 524 to 776 of the family's 1533-position model. The record is from RNAcentral.
UACAGAGGGGGCAAGCGUUGUUCGGAAUUACUGGGCGUAAAGCGCACGUAGGCGGUUCGUUAUGUCGGAUGUGAGAGCCCUUGGCUUAACCGAGGAAGUGCAUCCGAAACUGGCGAGCUAGAGUACGAAAGAGGAUCGCGGAAUUCCCGGUGUAGAGGUGAAAUUCGUAGAUAGUCGGGAGGAACACCGGUGGCGAAGGCGGCGAUCUGGGUCGAUACUGACGCUGAGGUGCGAAAGCGUGGGGGAGCAAACAGG